RNAcentral lists this transfer RNA (73 nucleotides) under Dermacentor andersoni. RNAcentral describes it as "transfer RNA serine (anticodon CGA)". It matches the Rfam family "tRNA". Rfam says of the family: Transfer RNA (tRNA) molecules are approximately 80 nucleotides in length. Their secondary structure includes four short double-helical elements and three loops (D, anti-codon, and T loops). The record is from RNAcentral. Lineage: Eukaryota; Metazoa; Arthropoda; Arachnida; Ixodida; Ixodidae.
GCCGCGGUAGCUCAAUUAGUAGAGCAUCGCACUCGAAAUGCGAAGGUUGUGGGUUCGGUUCCCACCUGCGGCA